GACGAACGCUGGCGGCGUGCUUAACACAUGCAAGUCGAACGGAAAGGCCCUUCGGGGUCCUCGAGUGGCGAACGGGUGAGUAACACGUGGGUGAUCUGCCCUGCACUUUGGGAUAAGCCUGGGAAACUGGGUCUAAUACCGAAUAGGACCACGCGCUUCAUGGUGUGUGGUGGCAAGCUUUUGCGGUGUGGGAUGGGCCCGCGGCCUAUCAGCUUGUUGGUGGGGUAAUGGCCUACCAAGGCGACGACGGGUAGCCGGCCUGAGAGGGGGACCGGCCACACUGGGACUGAGAUACGGCCCAGACUCCUACGGGAGGCAGCAGUGGGGAAUAUUGCACAAUGGGCGCAAGCCUGAUGCAGCGACGCCGCGUGAGGGAUGACGGCCUUCGGGUUGUAAACCUCUUUCAAUAGGGACGAAGCGCAAGUGACGGUACCUAUAGAAGAAGCACCGGCCAACUACGUG
Molecule: ribosomal RNA, 462 nt
Filed under: uncultured bacterium
Lineage: Bacteria
Description: partial 16S ribosomal RNA
Rfam family: Bacterial small subunit ribosomal RNA
Source: RNAcentral